CGCCUUUAAGAGGAAAUGUGGGCGGGGCUGCAGUGGGCGGGGCCGGAAGCAGGAACUGUGAGACAGGCCGCGGUGCUUGUGAGGAUGAGUCUGAAUGUGAAGACGAUUCUCGUCUCGUACCUGGAGAUCGACAUAAAGAAUCACAAAGAUGAAUUCUGGGAGGAGCUGAGCUGGUUUGCGAGGGAAGAGGGGAAGUUAGUGGCACAGAUGGGAAGGAAUGAUGGGGAUCUGGAAACUGAUGGAAACGUCCAAUUCAGAUCUACAGGCACAAUUGUGUAUGAAGGAGAAGCAGAAGUGGACGAGGAGCUGUGCCGCAGGAUUGCCACCCAGUUGGCAGAAAUGGGAGAUAAACUGGAGCGAGAGAUGAGGAUAAAACCAGAGGUAGUGAAUGGAAUAGUGGAUGCCCUGCUCAAUCACACCCUGAAUGAGGAGUAUUUGGCAGCCACAGUCCAGUCGCUGGUGCAGACGGCCCCCCCAGGGGUUGAGCAGGAGUUGAUGUCGGUGGCCAUAGCCCUGAUCCUGACCAAGAAAGCCGUGACCAACGUUCCCUCUCUGCUCCACAACAUCUGCUGCACCACCACGCACUUCAUAGAGAGGAACUACCGCGCUUGUUUAGAGCGUCUCGCUAGACAGUAUGUUCUAGAAUGACCAGAUAGUGGAGGCGAAAGCAGAGUUGGUCAGAAGAACGUCUCUAUGUUCCACCAUGAUGUCCUCCACUUCCUCUAUAAUCUCUGCAAUCUCCUCCACAUGGACAAUAUCAGAAUUGGAGGAGUUGUUCUCACUCCGCCCCCAUUGCUGUCCAAGCUCUUGACUUCUUCACGAUCCAUGGCCACCUGCUGUCAGGACUCGGGCCCAAGGGAAGUGGGCAAGCUCUCCGGAUGCCACGACAAGGAGACGGCCAAGCUCUCCGGGGGACUCACCUGCUCCGAGUUAUCACUGCCGAAAUUCCCCGCGUCUCGUCAGCUCGAGGAGAAGCCGAUGCAGCACCAGAGGGGCGAGAACCUGAAAGAGGGAGACGAUCCAAUCACACGGCAGCUCUAGAAACACCCAGGGGACCUUGUGAUACAACAGGGUUUUAUAACCAGGACAACUGAUAUCUGGGCAAUGAUUGGGCAAUUAUCAGUCCGGUUGGCUACUGGUAAGACCACUAAGUUGCCACUACUGAGCCGUGUACAGCAGUGCAGAUGCGCAGUCUGAAGGCAGGUAGUGAUGCCGAGUGAUUAGCAAUGACACACAGGCAGGGAGCCUCCUGGGCCUCAAGGCUUUCAAUCAAAUAAAGUUCAAUGGGAGAGAGAGGGAGAAACGUCAGCCCCAGAGGGAGAGGCUGAAGUCUUUGUGUCGGGAGAUACAGGUAAGAGAAUAUCUGCUCCUAUAAAUACAGCCCAUAGGUAUAGAUCUGUGAUGGUUGCUACAUGAAUGGGGGAAUUGACUGCAGACAAUUGGUUAGUUCAUCACAUGAGCAGAUAUUUGCUGUUCCAAAUCAGCCCAUCGGAUAGUUUGGUUCCUGGGCUGUAAAGUAGAUCUGGUGGCAGCAAUGUAAAUUUCUAAUCUGAUGGAUGUCGUUUGGGCAGGUCCCAUACACAGACCAACCUAAAUCCCACUGUCGCCCUCUCAGACUCCUGGCCCAGUGUGUUGGUGGCCAAAUGGUACAAUGUGUGCCCAGCUCAGGAGAAUGUACAGAUAUGGGACCUUUUAUCCAGAAUGCUUGUGACCUGGGGUUUCCAGAUUAGGGGUCUUUCUGUAAUUUGGAU
Molecule: RNA transcript, 1751 nt
Organism: Xenopus laevis (African clawed frog)
Lineage: Eukaryota; Metazoa; Chordata; Amphibia; Anura; Pipidae
Gene: bid.S
Gene name: BH3 interacting domain death agonist S homeolog
Exons: 6
Source: RefSeq, marked provisional